AAGGCCCUGGGAGCACUGACAACCUGCCGGAUGCAGAGCUCCCUCCUCAGAGCCUUCCUCCUCCUCUGCAGCUCUGAGACAUGGGGAUUCUGGGGGAACGUGACUGAGCCCAGCUCCCGGGGUUGCCCGGAGACAGGAGCAGGUCUCCGAGACCUCCUGUACCCAGGCUCCCCACAGAGCCUGCCCAUGGCCCCUGGGACUCUCCCCUGGCCUCCCUGGGCGGGAGCCGGUGAGGUCAGGGGCCAGGAACGUGGCUGCAGCCACGAGGCGGGAGUUAGUGACUGAGGAGCUUGGAAUGUACUGCCUCUGAAAGGACCUCCUGUGGCUCCACCGACGGUUAGAGCAGGAAGGGACUUUCAGAGCCAUGUAAUCACACACACACACACACACACACACACACACACACACAGGAGACCUGCGCCCCGCUCAGUCACUGGCCCAGGUGCUUGGGGGGUGGGCAGGCAGAUGGAUGGAGGCAAGGCUGACCUGAUUCAGGCCUGAUGAGCGACACAGGUGUUUCGAGACUGUGCCUCCUCAAGGUCAGAGCUGAAACAUAAGCACUGAGUAGCACAAGGCAGGGGAGCACCAGGCUGGUCACCACCCCUGAGCGCGCAGCAAUUCACAGCUUACCGAGCACUUUCCAUUGUGAUCUCACUGAUCCCACAGCAGCCCCGUGAGGUCAUCAGGAGCUCCGUUCUUCCCACAGGGACUGGGGCUCCGAGGGAAGGUCAACACCGAGGGCCACAGAGACAGAAAGUGGCGGCUCCAGGUCAGGACGCCCCGGGCUGUAAGUCCUGCUUGUACCCACAGACCCUGCCCUGCCCUCUGUCCCCGAGGAAGACCAUCUAGGUCCCCCGCCCCUGGAAUCCACCCCC
This is a long non-coding RNA of Pipistrellus kuhlii (Kuhl's pipistrelle), 875 nucleotides long. RefSeq lists it as uncharacterized. The transcript has 3 exons. The record is from RefSeq and is a predicted model, not a curated record. NCBI's taxonomy places the organism in Eukaryota, Metazoa, Chordata, Mammalia, Chiroptera, Vespertilionidae.